CCUACGGGAGGCAGCAGUGGGGAAUAUUGCGCAAUGGGCGAAAGCCUGACGCAGCGACGCCGCGUGGAGGAUGAAGGUCUUAGGAUUGUAAACUCCUGUCAGGGAAAUUUCGGUACCAUCAGAGGAAGCACCGGCUAACUUCGUGCCAGCAGCCGCGGUAAUACGAAGGGUGCAAACGUUAUUCGGAAUCACUGGGCGUAAAGGGUGCGUAGACGGUAUGUUAAGUUUGUCGUUAAAGACUCCGGCCUAACCGGAGCACCGCGAUGAAAACUGGCGUACUAGAGGGUGAGAGAGAGAAGUGGAAUUCCUGGAGUAGCGGUAAAAUGCGUGGAUCUCAGGAGGAACACCAAUGGCGAAGGCAGCUUCUUGGCUCAUCCUGACGUUGAGGCACGAAAGCGUGGGGAGCAAACAGGAUUAGAUACCCUGGUAGUC
This 432-nucleotide ribosomal RNA is filed under the name uncultured bacterium. RNAcentral's name for it is "partial 16S ribosomal RNA". It matches the Rfam family "Bacterial small subunit ribosomal RNA", at positions 338 to 795 of the family's 1533-position model. The record is from RNAcentral.